This is a non-coding RNA of Styela clava, 1298 nucleotides long. NCBI's taxonomy places the organism in Eukaryota, Metazoa, Chordata, Ascidiacea, Stolidobranchia, Styelidae. The record is from RefSeq and is a predicted model, not a curated record.
AAAGAUACUGGUAGAAUUCGUUUCAUUCAGAUGAGAACCUCUUACCAACAGCUUCGAAUUCUCUCUCCGACAACUUUCCAAUUGACAAAGGAUAUUUUGAAAUUGUCAAUCAACAUUGUUCAACAAUGACCAAUACAAUAUACGUUUUCGUUAUGAUUGCACUGAUAUCCGUUACAGUUCUCUUCCUGCACAUGGUUGUAAUAUCUGAGACGGGUCCAGUAGGCCCUCCUGGAAACUUCAAUGGACCUGACAAUAUUGACGAAGGGCAGAUAAACUUCGAUGAUUAAAAGACAUCAAUUAUCCUGGAUAUGAUGACUAAUAUAAAUAUACUUUAUGCAGAGAAUUUUUCAAAUGACUUGUGGGCGAAAUAUUGAUUUUAUAGUAGAUUCCCACACUGUACUGGACUAUAUAUGUAUUCGGUUUUGGCAUAUCCAACCCUUUUUCGUCAUUCAUAUUAUUUUUGAUUUUGCUGAUUUUUAUGCUAAACAACAAGUGAGACGCGCUCAAAUAUAUGAAUACAAAGGCCAAACGAAGUAGUAUUAAUCUUUUACAGUACCAGUAGUUUGAUUACAUGGUCAGUGGAACCUUUUUUAGGUGACGGGCCGAUAAAGCCUGACCAAAAUUUUGGCUGAACACAUAUAUACAAACGAACUUGGAUACAGUUAUAAGCAUAUGUAAUAAAUAUUACGAGUUACAAAAUUUAUUUGGCAUAUUCGAAAAUAUAUUAGAAAACAAAAGUGAUGCUAUUUAAUCGAGAUCUGCAUUUGUUUGCUGCCCAUUUACUGUUCCCAAUUAGGAGACAUUGUCGACAGAAUACACGUAACAUGUUGCUCACAUCCAUCCUAUUUCGGUAUUUCGUCGUUGACAAGACCAUCUCAUCGUGCGAAGAAGUUUCUAUAGAUUCAUUGCCUCAUUUGAGAGCUUAGUAUGACAACGGUUGGGAAACUGGACAAAUUUCGUUACUGUCACGUACGGUUACAAAUCCAACAGCCACGUUGUUAGCAAGAAUCAUUUUGUUUGAGAAAUCCUAUUUGGACUGAUAUAAAACUUUCUCACGCAGAGGCAAAAUUGAUGCAGCAAUAUUGCGACACAUUAAACUUUCACUAAAAUUAGGUUAUGUCACAGUGAAACUGGUAAACCAAAGCCAAAAUUUUCUCCCGUGUAAAAUGCAUUACGGCUCUAGUUGUUUUCCUGACUCAGCUCACUGAGCAUAUAUACAAUGAGUGGAAACUUCCAAAUAUUUGCUCAUUAAUCCAUUGUCCCCAGCAUUUUUACGUCGUCCAGCUAAAUGGUUCGUU